CGGGACGGGUGAGUAAUGUCUGGGAAACUGCCUGAUGGAGGGGGGUAACUACUGGAAACGGUAGCUAAUACCGCAUAACGUCGCAAGACCAAAGAGGGGGACCUUCGGGCCUCUUGCCAUCGGAUGUGCCCAGAUGGGAUUAGCUAGUAGGUAGGGUAACGGCUCACCUAGGCGACGAUCCCUAGCUGGUCUGAGAGGAUGACCAGCCACACUGGAACUGAGACACGGUCCAG
RNAcentral lists this ribosomal RNA (233 nucleotides) under uncultured bacterium. RNAcentral describes it as "partial 16S ribosomal RNA". It matches the Rfam family "Bacterial small subunit ribosomal RNA", at positions 100 to 334 of the family's 1533-position model. The record is from RNAcentral.